This 839-nucleotide long non-coding RNA is filed under the name Equus caballus (horse). RNAcentral describes it as "lncRNA (ENSECAG00000052477.1)". The record is from RNAcentral. Lineage: Eukaryota; Metazoa; Chordata; Mammalia; Perissodactyla; Equidae.
CAGCCCAACUUCUUCUGCCCAAUCCUGCUUCCUUCCCUUCCCUUCCAAGAGUAUUCCCUCCUCAGCUUCCUGCAUGCCAAUCUGACCCUUAAAGUUAGCUUCCAAGCUGCCAUAGCCACGGUCAGGUAACCUAGGAUGGUGAGAAAAAGGUUUUGCUCUUUUGGUUUCCAAGCAAUUAGAUGCUUCCAUGUCACCUAGUUACCUAGAGUAGUUGGCCUACGUGAAAGGAAGAGAAGUCAUCCCUCAAAAAGCUGCCAUUUUGUGUCAAUGAAGGAAGGACUAGAGACGAUCAACAAUACUCACAUCCCUGAUAUAAUUGAGAUUCUGUUCAAAGAAGAAAAAGAGUAAUUCGCUGAACACUUAUGAACCCACCACCCAGCUUGACGACUAAAAUAUUACCAAAUAUCGGUGAAAAUCCAGUGUGCGGCUAUUGCCUAAUGCUACCCUCCUACGUUCCCCCAAAGCAACAGGAUCCGAAGGAAACUUCUGACAGCUUUGGGGACAACAAGAAACACAGAUGUGCUACCUGCAAACCCUUGAGUUCUCCAUCUUGCUCGCUGUCUCUGAGGGCUGUGGGAAUCCAGGGGCUUAUCCAGUCCGAAGGGAAGUCCGCUGUCUUCUGACAUCAAGAGGAGAAGGAUCUGGAGACUGAUGAAUUGAAUUAACUAUCCAUCCACAAACAACAUCACCUUUGUGGGAGCUGUGAGAUCCAACACCAUUUGCCAAGGGACCUGGAAGGGGUCUUGCCCACCUGUGCAUCCAAUAAUAGGCAGACACACCUCUUCUACACCUCCGGACAGCAGAUCCAGGAGAACCCAUGAACCUGCCCCAAGCCCUCU